This is a non-coding RNA of Poecilia reticulata (guppy), 3832 nucleotides long. NCBI's taxonomy places the organism in Eukaryota, Metazoa, Chordata, Actinopteri, Cyprinodontiformes, Poeciliidae. The record is from RefSeq and is a predicted model, not a curated record.
AAGACAUGUCGAGGAUAAACUUGGCUUUGGAUGAACGGAUAUUUUUGUGCAGAAUUGUCGGUGCCUGGAUUUCAUUAAGUAAAGUUCUUUUAUUGAAGGUUCGAGAAAAAUACCUAUCAUUUGGUGCCAAAACCCGGGAUCUCUCAUACCGACCGCUGUCAGGCAGAGGAAGACGCGCUGAAUCCAUGCAUGGCCAGAAAUCAUUUGGACCUGGAAAGAAAGACCCAGGAAGUAAAUUCUUCGCUGGGCCGACGACGUACGUCCGACUUUGUCUGCCAACGGCGGGGUGACGAGAUCCGACUGGACAACCUGACAGCUACAGAAACGUAGGUGAAUUUUAAAAUGACUAUAUCUAGAGGUUUGAGAAUCCUUGUUAAACAGCGUUUUAACUAAAACUCUGAGGUUUAAGAAUCCUUGUUAAACUGCGUUUUGACUAAAAAUCUGUAAAGUUCUCAGGAAAGAAGAGGUGUUGCUAGAGCCCCUCUCUGAUUGAGGAGACCCCAUAAGGGUAAAUCCUCGGGCGGAUAGGAAGUUUGAAUUUGCUGUUUUGUCAUUACUGUGCUGACAUUGCUGUUUUGCUGCUGCUGCUUUGUUGAUGUGUGUGCGUGUGUGUGUAUGUGUGAAUGGUGCUUGAUUUCUUUGAGAGUAAAACUUUCUGUCCUUGGAAUUAGAAUCCUAGGUGAAGAACCGGACCAGAACUAGUCUGGCCUAGAAGACUGUUCUUCAGGAGACACAAGCGCUCACUUAGAGCACUCUCUUUGAAGAAAAAGCACAAAAUAUCAAGCCAUUGUAAGCUAAAUUGCAGGGUACUGAAAUAAUGGAAAAUAAGUGUUGUUGUAAUUCCUCACUUGCUGAGGACCCCGACAGGGAUGAAAAGUACAUGCUGUCCAGAUUUCCUGGUAGUACUGUACACAUAAAAAAAAAGGUAAACCUGUAAUUAAAGGACUUGUUUGCUAAAGAUCUUCUAAAAGCAAUAAACUUGUGAGUUCACCUGAAUUAACUAUUAAUCCUCCCAAAGACUUUAUGUGAAGCUAAAGUGAUUGUAACACAUGGGCAAUGCCAUGUGUAAAAAGGGGGGGGAAAGGGAAAAUGGUGAGGUAAUACUAUAUAACUACUAAAUUCUUACAUAAUUUUUUGUUAUUAUGAACUUUUGAAUUAACAAAUACUGUUAGAUGGUGAUUGAUGCUUUUUCUAAAUGAGUUGAAAUAGUUCCAGCAAAGCAUGCUUUUGAAAUAAUUCAUGGUAGAGCUUACAGAUUGCCUCUGUUUGCUCCAGACUUGCAGAAAGCAGAUGAAGUACAAACAUUAGCAGAUUAUAUGAUCAGAACUCUUACACUGAAGGAAGUGUCCAGUACAAAUUUACUGCCUUCUGAUUCCCUUCCUUGGCAGGAGGCCGCUCCCAUUGAGCCAGGAGACUGGGUCUACGUUAAAGUCAUCAAAYGAAAGAACUGGGCGAGUCCACRGUGGGAAGGACCGUUCCAGGUGCUGAUGACAACACCAACAGCUGUAAAGAUUGCUGAAAGACCCAGCUGGAUACAUCUCAGUCACUGCAAGCUGCAGGGAGUGUUGGACCCCUAAGUAGGCGGAGGGAGGAAGGGCGGACUUCAAAGGGGGGCUAUUUUUUUUAGGGUAGCUUGUCUCAAACCUGGUGAAGAAACGCUUAAGAUUCCCCCGUCUUUAGUUUGGGGGUUUUGACAUCUCUGCGCGCCGAGCAGCAAUGGGGACUCCAUAUGCCAGAUGGAUCUUCUACUGYGCUGUGACUGCAGCAUGUCUGAUGUUUGGAGGAGGAAGUGACAUCACUUUCCACCCACAUGACUACAGCACCAACCUGUGGUGGCAGCUGAUGAACAGGACUGCUCACGAGGAGAAGGAGGUGAACUGCUAUGUGUGGAUCUAUGAACUGUUCCUUUAAUGCUGACGUACGUCCGUUUUCACCAUUUCCACUAACCACAUGGAAAAUACCAGAGACCAUUUCUUUAGCAGGAGCUAAACCCGGGUCUCUGAGGAGCUGCGUUACCUCUUAAGAUGUUAUCCCAAGAGGUAACAUCUCUUGGGAUGUUACCUUGGAAUUUGUGUAGCAAAGUUUACACAUACUGCGAAACGACAUCGGAUAACAUCAACUGCAUUGCCUGCAGGGGUCAGAGGGCGACCCCAGGUUGCAAAGUCUGGAAGGGCAACCCAGACUGUGACAACGUGCUUCAGGAGAGGAGUUUCAACAUCACCCAUUGGACAAGAGGACAACAGGAAACAACACUGUGCAGCGCCAUAGUACCAGGAGACUAUGGUUCACAGGUGAUGGCAGACUGGUACUUCGUGUGUGGAAAUGGAGCUUACAUGGUCUUGCCGCGAUAUUGGGGAGGACUGUGUGCUUUGGUCCCCUUAAUCAGCCCGAUUGCAUUCAUCAGGAAAGGACAACACGUUCUAGCUGCCCGCUCCAAGCAUGCAGUUAUGCCAGAGGUCAAACGCUGGGGAGGCCUCACUACAGACACUGGAGUUCCUUGGGAGUUCAAGAUUUGGGGCAGAGGAGAAAAAUUUAUGCGAGGCAUGUUUCCAUGGGUCGGAGUAGGUGAGAUUCAGGACCAUGUUGAGAUCAACAGAUAUGGAUUACUGCGACUCAUCAACAGCACACACCAGCUGGCCAACGGCACCGUGAGAGAGCUGACUGAACUGAGAAACAUGGUUCUGCAAAACCGUGUUGUACUGGACUCCCUCAAAGCCUCUCAGGGAGGUGUCUAUAAAAUCAUUGGCCCAGCAUGCUGUACAUUUAUUCCUGACGAAACAGGAACUAGUGGAACUAUUUCUGACGCUCUACAUGACCUGGAGGAACUUAAACAUUAUGCGGAAAGUAGAAAGCAAGGAUCUCAUCCUUUUGACUUUUUUUCUUGGUUCACUUCUGGACAUGGUGGAAUUUACUGUUGAAACUUGGAACACCUAUUCUGGGUGUUAUGAUUCUUUUUUGCCUGUUCACAAGUUGCAUCAUUCCAUGCCUUCGAAGCAUGAUGCUAAAGACAAUUAACACUGCUGUGAUCAGCUAUCAGCUGGUGAAAAUAACCUAUGACACAAAUGAAGACAACUUGUUUUCUGAUGAUGAAGUUCUGUAAUCAAUAAACAGAUUAAUUCAUUUGCUGAAUGAUUCCUACAUCGAAAAUGUGAAAACAAGUGGUGUUAGUGAUGAGACAACUGCAUUUGAUUUUUGUUUUGCUGUUUCUUUUAUUUUUCAUCUAUUUCAUUAUAUUCAUAUAUUCAUUGUGUAUUUGAACGAAAAAAAAUUCUUGCAUUUAUUGGAUCUAUUCUUUUCUUUUCUAUGCUUGGCUUGUGGAUAAAGUUUACACACAUGGUAAAAUGAUAAAAAGGGGGAAAUGUUAGAGAUUUUUUGGUAUCAUUUUGUUAUUACUUUAGUUCAUAUUCAGUCUAAUGUUCAGUUUAAAGUGUUCUCUUUCUUCUGUGUGACCUGGAGGCCCCAUCUGCCUGUGUGCCUUCUUAUCAACCGGAAUACUCCCUAUUUUAGAAACUGCUUGUGUGCAGUAAUAAUUUAUCUCUGCUGUCUUCUUUAGCUAUCCUCCCUGUCUCUGCUUGAUAAUAAAUGACAAGCUGUAACCAAAGGUCUUCAGAACGCUCAGUGAACGGCUUGGAGGAGCAGUUUGCUGAGUCUUCUAUUUUUGCAAAAGCUUGGUCAUAAAAUUCAUAUACGUUGUCUGUAGUUCUUUUAUUGAAGGUUCGAGAAAAAUACCCAUCAAUCCAUGUGCAGAUCGAUUGUGAAUGCCUGUGCUUCACAGUGACGUCAGACAAUGGCCGCCAUAACUCGAAGAGGUGUAUCUUUACUUCCGGUGUGA